This 434-nucleotide ribosomal RNA is filed under the name uncultured bacterium. Its description in RNAcentral is "partial 16S ribosomal RNA". It matches the Rfam family "Bacterial small subunit ribosomal RNA", at positions 29 to 507 of the family's 1533-position model. The record is from RNAcentral.
AGCGAACGCUGGCGGCAGGCCUAACACAUGCAAGUCGAACGAACCUUUCGGGGUUAGUGGCGGACGGGUGAGUAACACGUGGGAACGUGCCUUUAGGUUCGGAAUAACUCAGGGAAACUUGUGCUAAUACCGAAUGUGCCCUUCGGGGGAAAGAUUUAUCGCCUUUAGAGCGGCCCGCGUCUGAUUAGCUAGUUGGUUGAGGUAAUGGCUCACCAAGGCGACGAUCAGUAGCUGGUCUGAGAGGAUGAUCAGCCACAUUGGGACUGAGACACGGCCCAAACUCCUACGGGAGGCAGUAGUGGGGAAUCUUGCGCAAUGGGCGAAAGCCUGACGCAGCCAUGCCGCGUGAAUGAUGAAGGUCUUAGGAUUGUAAAAUUCUUUCACCGGGGACGAUAAUGACGGUACCCGGAGAAGAAGCCCCGGCUAACUUCGUG